AACGAACGCUGGCGGCAUGCCUAACACAUGCAAGUCGAACGAAACCUUCGGGUCUAGUGGCGCACGGGUGCGUAACGCGUGGGAACCUGCCCUUAGGUUCGGAAUAACUCCCCGAAAGGGGUGCUAAUACCGGAUAAUGUCUUCGGACCAAAGAUUUAUCGCCUUUGGAUGGGCCCGCGUUGGAUUAGCUAGUUGGUAGGGUAAAAGCCUACCAAGGCGACGAUCCAUAGCUGGUCUGAGAGGAUGAUCAGCCACACUGGGACUGAGACACGGCCCAGACUCCUACGGGAGGCAGCAGUGGGGAAUAUUGGACAAUGGGCGAAAGCCUGAUCCAGCAAUGCCGCGUGAGUGAUGAAGGCCUUAGGGCUGUAAAGCUCUUUUACCCGGGAUGAUAAUGACAGUACCGGGAGAAUAAGCUCCGGCUAACUCCGUG
This 433-nucleotide ribosomal RNA is filed under the name uncultured bacterium. Its description in RNAcentral is "partial 16S ribosomal RNA". It matches the Rfam family "Bacterial small subunit ribosomal RNA", at positions 29 to 507 of the family's 1533-position model. The record is from RNAcentral.